CGGAACACAGGUGCUGCAUGGCUGUCGUCAGCUCGUGUCGUGAGAUGUUGGGUUAAGUCCCGCAACGAGCGCAACCCUUAUCAUUAGUUGCUACGCAAGGGCACUCUAAUGAGACUGCCGGUGACAAACCGGAGGAAGGUGGGGAUGACGUCAAGUCCUCAUGGCCCUUAUGGGUAGGGCUUCACACGUCAUACAAUGGUCGGUACAGAGGGUUGCCAAGCCGCGAGGCGGAGCCAAUCCCACAAAGCCGAUCGUAGUCCGGAUCGCAGUCUGCAACUCGACUGCGUGAAGUUGGAAUCGCUAGUAAUCGUAGAUCAGCAUGCUACGGUGAAUACGUUCCCGGGCCUU
RNAcentral lists this ribosomal RNA (348 nucleotides) under uncultured Methyloversatilis sp. Its description in RNAcentral is "bacterial SSU rRNA". It matches the Rfam family "Bacterial small subunit ribosomal RNA", at positions 1028 to 1382 of the family's 1533-position model. Lineage: Bacteria; Pseudomonadati; Pseudomonadota; Betaproteobacteria; Nitrosomonadales; Sterolibacteriaceae. The record is from RNAcentral.